Molecule: ribosomal RNA, 623 nt
Filed under: Salmonella enterica
Lineage: Bacteria; Pseudomonadati; Pseudomonadota; Gammaproteobacteria; Enterobacterales; Enterobacteriaceae
Also listed under: 2 other names
Description: partial 23S ribosomal RNA
Rfam family: Bacterial large subunit ribosomal RNA
Source: RNAcentral
GGUUAAGCGACUAAGCGUACACGGUGGAUGCCCUGGCAGUCAGAGGCGAUGAAGGGCGUGCUAAUCUGCGAUAAGCGCCGGUAAGGUGAUAUGAACCGUUAUAACCGGCGAUACCCGAAUGGGGAAACCCAGUGUGAUUCGUCACACUAUCAUUAACUGAAUCCAUAGGUUAAUGAGGCGAACCGGGGGAACUGAAACAUCUAAGUACCCCGAGGAAAAGAAAUCAACCGAGAUUCCCCCAGUAGCGGCGAGCGAACGGGGAGGAGCCCAGAGCCUGAAUCAGCAUGUGUGUUAGUGGAAGCGUCUGGAAAGGCGCGCGAUACAGGGUGACAGCCCCGUACACAAAAGCGCAUGUGCUGUGAGCUCGAUGAGUAGGGCGGGACACGUGGUAUCCUGUCUGAAUAUGGGGGGACCAUCCUCCAAGGCUAAAUACUCCUGACUGACCGAUAGUGAACCAGUACCGUGAGGGAAAGGCGAAAAGAACCCCGGCGAGGGGAGUGAAAAAGAACCUGAAACCGUGUACGUACAAGCAGUGGGAGCACCCUUCGGGGUGUGACUGCGUACCUUUUGUAUAAUGGGUCAGCGACUUAUAUUCUGUAGCAAGGUUAACCGUAUAGGGGAGC